Molecule: ribosomal RNA, 488 nt
Filed under: uncultured bacterium
Lineage: Bacteria
Description: partial 16S ribosomal RNA
Rfam family: Bacterial small subunit ribosomal RNA
Source: RNAcentral
GAUGAACGCUAGCGGCAGGCUUAAUACAUGCAAGUCGUGGGGCAGCAGGACUGUAGCAAUACAGUUGCUGGCGACCGGCAAACGUGUGCGGAACACGUACGCAACUUACCCUGAACUGGGGGAUAGCCCGGGGAAACCCGGAUUAAUACCCCGUAAUAUAAUGGAGUGGCAUCACUUUAUUAUUAAAGCUCCGGCGGUUCGGGAUGGGCGUGCGGCUGAUUAGGUAGUUGGUUGAGGUAACGGCUCACCAAGACUACGAUCAGUACCUGGUGUGAGAGCACGACCAGUCGAACGGGCACUGGGACACGGGCCCGACGGCAACGAGCAGCAGCAGUAAGGAGUAUUGGGCCGUGGAGGCAACUCUGACCCAGCCAUGCCGCGUGGAGGAUGAAGGCACUCUGAGUUGUAAAAUUCUUUUAUAGGGGACGAAACCUGUGUAUUCUUACGCAGUUGCCGGUACCCUAGAAAUAAGCACCGCCUAACUCCGU